RNAcentral lists this small nuclear RNA (62 nucleotides) under Callithrix jacchus (white-tufted-ear marmoset). Its description in RNAcentral is "U7 small nuclear RNA (ENSCJAG00000082298.1)". It matches the Rfam family "U7 small nuclear RNA". From Rfam's summary of the family: Animal histone pre-mRNAs are spliced by a different mechanism than nuclear pre-mRNAs and self-splicing introns. This processing involves the U7 snRNP, which contains only one RNA species: U7. The record is from Rfam by way of RNAcentral. Lineage: Eukaryota; Metazoa; Chordata; Mammalia; Primates; Cebidae.
UAAUGUUACAGCUCUUUUAGAAUGUAUCUAGCAGGCUUUCCAGUUUUUGCAGGAAAGCUCCU